AGAUUGAACGCUGGCGGCAUGCUUUACACAUGCAAGUCGAACGGCAGCACGGGGGCAACCCUGGUGGCGAGUGGCGAACGGGUGAGUAAUGCAUCGGAACGUAUCUUUAAGUGGGGGAUAACGCAUCGAAAGAUGCGCUAAUACCGCAUAAUCUCUGAGGAGAAAAGCAGGGGAUCGCAAGACCUUGCGCUUUUGGAGCGGCCGAUGUCUGAUUUAGCUAGUUGGUGGGUAAAGGCUUACCAAGGCUUCGAUCAGUAGCUGGUCUGAGAGGACGACCAGCCACACUGGGACUGAGACACGGCCCAGACUCCUACGGGAGCAGCAGUGGGAAUUUGGACAAUGGGGAAACCUGAUCCAGCCAUGCCGCGUGAGUGAAGAAGGCCUUCGGUUGUAAAGCUCUUUCAGCCGAACGAAACGGUUACGUUAAUAACCGUGACUAACUGAACGGUAACCGGUAAGAAGAAGACAACCGGACUAACCGUAACGUUAGCCGAACGCGAACGACGGCGGUAAAGU
This 516-nucleotide ribosomal RNA is filed under the name uncultured soil bacterium. RNAcentral's name for it is "bacterial SSU rRNA". It matches the Rfam family "Bacterial small subunit ribosomal RNA", at positions 26 to 539 of the family's 1533-position model. The record is from RNAcentral.